GUGCAACCUGCUCCGGUGCCCUUCCACGCUGUGGAGGGUUUGUUCUUUUUGUUCUUUGCAUUAAAUGCUGCUGCUGCUGCUCACUCUUUGGGUCCACACUGCCUUUAUGAGCUGUAACACCACGAAGGUCUGCAGCUUCACUCCUGAAGCCAGUGAGAUCACAAACCCACUGGGAGGAACAAGCAACUCCAGACGCGCCCCUUUAAGAGCUGUAACAUUCACCAGGAAGGUCUGCAGCUUAGGGCGAGGCCACAAACCCCCCAGAAAGAAGAAACUCCGAACACAUCCGAACAUCAGAAGGAACAAACUCCGGACACGCCGCCUUUAAGAACUGAAACAUUCACUGCGAGGGUGCGCGGCUUCAUUCUUGAAGUCGGUGAGACCUAGAACCCACCAAUUCCGGACACAGAACGAAUCAACCAAGGGUGGAAAGCCCCUCUUUGAGCCGAAGGACUAGAGGAACAAAAGACUCAGCCCCAAGGUUAUCCGUGCUCACCUGGCAACACUGGCUGUGGCUGAGGAGUGGUGUUCCUCUACACAGAGCCUGGGCUUUCCUCCAGACUUGCUGCCCUCAUGCAAGCCCCCUGCCUGAUGUCACCUGCCUGAUGCUGGUGCUUUUCGACUGCUGUAUCUAUGAAGGGAGAAGCAUUUGCUGCUGAAAGAGUUAUUGUAUUUGCUACUGGCAACACUUGAGAGUAAAGUUUAGCAGAGUAAGAGAGACAUAAAUCUAGAGGUUUGGGGUAGGUUUUUUUUAAAGGAUGUAUCAUUUGUUUAUUUUAAAAAGUCUAAGAAGAAAAGAGGAGAGCAGCGGACACAUUUGAGAGCAUUUGAGGGUUAGAAAAGAUUUACAUCUUAGGAAUGAGGAUCCUUGAGCUUGUUUCCAAGUUCAUGGUGUUUUGAGUGUGGCAAGACUUUUUAAUAUUAUGAAUGAUGCCCAUGGAAUCUUCUGUAACACUCAAUCGACGGGAAUCCCGAAGUACUAUAUAUCCCAGAUCUUUGUUUUCCCAAACACACUGGAGUAUGAAGGACAUGUUGUGAAUGACAGAAUUCUGUCAUUAUAUUUAAUUUACUAUCAAAUUUACCUACUAAAGUAGAGGACUGAUUAAGAUAAAUACAGACAAUGAUCUCAUCCUGGAAGGAAUUACUAUGGAAAAAGAAUUUGACAAGAAGAUCCCCUUUUUAUCUGAACAAUAAAACAUAUCAAUUUCUCAAAGCUCUUAUGUUUGGCCAGUUCAUCUGGUGAGAGAAUGGAAAAAGGGAGACAUUCAUCAAUUUUACAACCUGCAGUCCAUCAUCAGACCAAAUCAGGAAGAAGAGUGCAUGGAGAAAACAUUUGAGAAGAAAAGGUAUUUUCAAAACAUCUGGAGCAAGAGACAAAUCCCAUCAGCUCAGUUCCAGCAAUAUAUGCAGAUGGGCAACUGAUGGUCAGACUCCAGUGGUUCUUCAGAACUUUCUAGGAGGUAAACAAGAUGAAAGGGAAAGCACACAAAUUUGCUGGAAUUUGGAAAACACGAACCCUGGAAUUUGGAGGAGUCACUUCCACUGGAAAAUACUUUUAUAUUAUUUAUAGUGGCUACCAUUACUGUGCUCACUUUACAGGUGAGGUUCAGAGAUUUAUGUAACAUGCCAAAGGUCACACAGCUGGACACAGCAGAACCAAGAUUCAAAUCUGCACAG
This is a long non-coding RNA of Gorilla gorilla gorilla (western lowland gorilla), 1677 nucleotides long. RefSeq lists it as uncharacterized. Lineage: Eukaryota; Metazoa; Chordata; Mammalia; Primates; Hominidae. The transcript is spliced from 6 exons. The record is from RefSeq and is a predicted model, not a curated record.